GUGGGGAAUUUUGGACAAUGGGCGCAAGCCUGAUCCAGCAAUGCCGCGUGCAGGAAGAAGGCCUUCGGGUUGUAAACUGCUUUUGUACGGAACGAAACGGUCCUGGCUAAUAUCCGGGGCUAAUGACGGUACCGUAAGAAUAAGCACCGGCUAACUACGUGCCAGCAGCCGCGGCAAUACGUAGGGUGCGAGCGUUAAUCGGAAUUACUGGGCGUAAAGCGUGCGCAGGCGGUGCUGUAAGACAGGCGUGAAAUCCCCGGGCUCAACCUGGGAAUUGCGCUUGUGACUGCAGUGCUGGAGUGCGGCAGAGGGGGAUGGAAUUCCGCGUGUAGCAGUGAAAUGCGUAGAUAUGCGGAGGAACACCGAUGGCGAAGGCAAUCCCCUGGGCCUGCACUGACGCUCAUGCACGAAAGCGUGGGGAGCAAACAGGAUUAGAUACCCUUGUAGUCC
Molecule: ribosomal RNA, 450 nt
Filed under: uncultured bacterium
Lineage: Bacteria
Description: partial 16S ribosomal RNA
Rfam family: Bacterial small subunit ribosomal RNA
Source: RNAcentral